RNAcentral lists this ribosomal RNA (460 nucleotides) under uncultured bacterium. Its description in RNAcentral is "partial 16S ribosomal RNA". It matches the Rfam family "Bacterial small subunit ribosomal RNA", at positions 338 to 795 of the family's 1533-position model. The record is from RNAcentral.
CCUACGGGAGGCAGCAGUGAGGAAUAUUGGUCAAUGGACGAGAGUCUGAACCAGCCAAGUAGCGUGAAGGAUGACUGCCCUAUGGGUUGUAAACUUCUUUUAUAUGGGAAUAAACUGUUCCACGUGUGGGAUUUUGUAUGUACCAUAUGAAUAAGGAUCGGCUAACUCCGUGCCAGCAGCCGCGGUAAUACGGAGGAUCCGAGCGUUAUCCGGAUUUAUUGGGUUUAAAGGGAGCGUAGAUGGGUUGUUAAGUCAGUUGUGAAAGUUUGCGGUGCAACCGUCAAAUUGCAAUUGAUACUGGCAGGCUUGAGUGCAGUUGAGGUAGGCGGAAUUCGUGGUGUAGCGGUGAAAUGCUUAGAUAUCACGAAGAACCCCGAUUGCGAAGGCAGCUUACUAUACUGUGACUGACGUUGAUGCUCGAAAGUGUGGGUAUCAAACAGGAUUAGAUACCCCUGUAGUC